Molecule: ribosomal RNA, 549 nt
Filed under: uncultured Glomus
Lineage: Eukaryota; Fungi; Glomeromycota; Glomeromycetes; Glomerales; Glomeraceae
Description: SSU rRNA
Rfam family: Eukaryotic small subunit ribosomal RNA
Source: RNAcentral
UUGGAGGGCAAGUCUGGUGCCAGCAGCCGCGGUAAUUCCAGCUCCAAUAGCGUAUAUUAAAGUUGUUGCAGUUAAAAAGCUCGUAGUUGAAUUUCGGGAUCAAUAUGUUGGUCGUGCCAUUGGUACGUACUGGCAUUAUUGGUUUCUACCUUCUGAAGAACCUCGAUGUCAUUAAUUUGGUGUCUUGGGGAAUCAGGACUGUUACUUUGAAAAAAUUAGAGUGUUUAAAGCAGGCUCGCGCUUGAAUACAUUAGCAUGGAAUAAUGAAAUAGGACGUUUGAUUCUAUUUUGUUGGUUUCUAGGAUCGACGUAAUGAUUAAUAGGGAUAGUUGGGGGCAUUAGUAUUCAAUUGUCAGAGGUGAAAUUCUUGGAUUUAUUGAAGACUAACUACUGCGAAAGCAUUUGCCAAGGAUGUUUUCAUUAAUCAAGAACGAAAGUUAGGGGAUCGAAGACGAUCAGAUACCGUCGUAGUCUUAACUAUAAACUAUGCCGACUAGGGAUCGGAUGAUGUUAAUUUUUUAAUGACUCAUUCGGCACCUUACGGGAAAC